Molecule: ribosomal RNA, 497 nt
Filed under: uncultured bacterium
Lineage: Bacteria
Description: partial 16S ribosomal RNA
Rfam family: Bacterial small subunit ribosomal RNA
Source: RNAcentral
GAUGAACGCUGGCGGCGUGCCUAAUACAUGCAAGUCGAGCGAACAGACGAGGAGCUUGCUCCUCUGACGUUAGCGGCGGACGGGUGAGUAACACGUGGAUAACCUACCUAUAAGACUGGGAUAACUUCGGGAAACCGGAGCUAAUACCGGAUAAUAUAUUGAACCGCAUGGUUCAAUAGUGAAAGACGGUUUUGCCGUCACUUAUAGAUGGAUCCGCGCCGCAUUAGCUAGUUGGUAAGGUAACGGCUUACCAAGGCAACGAUGCGUAGCGGACCUGAGAGGGUGAUCGGCCACACUGGAACUGAGACACGGUCCAGACUCCUACGGGAGGCAGCAGUAGGGAAUCUUCCGCAAUGGGCGAAAGCCUGACGGAGCAACGCCGCGUGAGUGAUGAAGGUCUUCGGAUCGUAAAACUCUGUUAUUAGGGAAGAACAAAUGUGUAAGUAACUAUGCACGUCUUGACGGUACCUAAUCAGAAAGCCACGGCUAACUACGUG